This 870-nucleotide long non-coding RNA is filed under the name Homo sapiens (human). RNAcentral describes it as "HSALNT0388325". The record is from RNAcentral. Lineage: Eukaryota; Metazoa; Chordata; Mammalia; Primates; Hominidae.
CUGCUGGGCGCCAUCUUGUCUUCUCCUAGCACACUUUGUAUUGUUCGAAGUUGAGAGAGAAGGAGCCGGAGUCUCCGAGGUGGCGUUGGGUGGGGGCGCUACUAGCUCCCGUUCUCUCAGCGUCUCUAGAGGGAAGGGCGCCGGUGGGAGCAGGAGAGUCUGCACCGGGCAGGCCUCCUUAGGUGCCGGGUUGCGCGCAGGGCCCUGUGCUUGUCUCGCCUCCGGUUGGCUCAGGCCUCGGAGCAUGAGUGCGCCGGCAACUGCUGGGCCCGGGACAGUGAAGCAGAGGAGGAGGUGGGGGAGGCGAGCCCAGGUCGGGGAAGGGCAGCACCUGAAUCACCCUUGGGGCCCAGACCCCCAAGAGUCUCCGGGGAGCCGAGGCCUGGCGAGGCAGUCCCGGGAUUCGCCCCCUCCCCGCUGGCCCGAGGGCGCACCACGUGCUGGGCAGAGACUUCGGCGAGGCCGAGUGGACCCUGCAGCGCUGCUUGGGAAAGGGCACCUUGGACUACCUGGUGGGGGCGUUGUGCUUCGUUACCGACCGCCGGGACGCCAACCCACGGUGCCCACCCGUGCGUCAUUCCGCUGUGGAUCAGCCCUUUGGCGGCCCCCCUCCAAAGUCUACAAGGUCACACGGAUGUCUGCAGGCAGAGGUGGGGCUGCUGGGGCCCUGCCAGCAGCUGCUUCCGGCUCCCUGAGACCCAGCCAUGGAAGGCAUAGAAAGGCAUGUGACAAGAAACUCAUGGCUUUUAAUCCUGGCAGGACAAGGAAAACCCCGUCAAAGAUUUGCAUAAAUUUUGCUGCUCUCCUGCUGGGGGGGGGGGGGGGGCAGUUCGUCACAUUUAAUAAAAUUCUCUCCCUCCCUUCUCCCGA